UACAUGGGGUGCAAACGUUGCUCGGAAUUACUGGGCGUAAAGCGCGCGCAGGCGGUCUUGCAAGACAGAUGUGAAAUCCCCGGGCUCAACCUGGGAACUGCAUUUGUGACUGCAAGGCUGGAGUGCGGCAGAGGGGGAUGGAAUUCCGCGUAGCAGUGAAAUGCGUAGAUAUGCGGAGGAACACCGAUGGCGAAGGCAAUCCCCUGGGCCUGCACUGACGCUCAUGCACGAAAGCGUGGGGAGCAAACAGG
RNAcentral lists this ribosomal RNA (251 nucleotides) under uncultured bacterium. Its description in RNAcentral is "partial 16S ribosomal RNA". It matches the Rfam family "Bacterial small subunit ribosomal RNA", at positions 524 to 776 of the family's 1533-position model. The record is from RNAcentral.